AGUGAACGCUGGCGGUAGGCCUAACACAUGCAAGUCGAACGGCAGCACAGUAAGAGCUUGCUCUUACGGGUGGCGAGUGGCGGACGGGUGAGGAGUACAUCGGAAUCUACUUUUUCGUGGGGGAUAACGUAGGGAAACUUACGCUAAUACCGCAUACGACCUACGGGUGAAGGCAGGGGAUCUUCGGACCUUGCGCGAUUGAAUGAGCCGAUGUCGGAUUAGCUAGUUGGCGGGGUAAAGGCCCACCAAGGCGACGAUCCGUAGCUGGUCUGAGAGGAUGAUCAGCCACACUGGAACUGAGACACGGUCCAGACUCCUACGGGAGGCAGCAGUGGGGAAUAUUGGACAAUGGGCGCAAGCCUGAUCCAGCCAUACCGCGUGGGUGAAGAGGGCCUUCGGGUUGUAAAGCCCUUUUGUUGGGAAAGAAAAGCAGCAGGUUAAUACCCCGCUGUUCUGACGGUACCCAAAGAAUAAGCACCGGCUAACUUCGUG
RNAcentral lists this ribosomal RNA (492 nucleotides) under uncultured bacterium. Its description in RNAcentral is "partial 16S ribosomal RNA". It matches the Rfam family "Bacterial small subunit ribosomal RNA", at positions 29 to 507 of the family's 1533-position model. The record is from RNAcentral.